AUUCCAUGAUGGGGACAUUCUAGGAUGUAGUCUUGAAAGCGCUCCCAUGCUUCUGGAACAAAUUCAUCAUUUUGUUGCUGAAAACUUAUAAUCUUCCCACGGAGAGC
This is a small nucleolar RNA of Sorghum bicolor (sorghum), 107 nucleotides long. It matches the Rfam family "Plant small nucleolar RNA R71". Rfam says of the family: R71 is a member of the C/D box family of snoRNAs containing the C (UGAUGA) and D (CUGA) box motifs. Multiple nearly identical copies of this snoRNA have been identified in Arabidopsis, and it is thought to function as a 2'-O-ribose methylation guide for 18S ribosomal RNA. NCBI's taxonomy places the organism in Eukaryota, Viridiplantae, Streptophyta, Magnoliopsida, Poales, Poaceae. The record is from Rfam.